GACCAGAGCAUUGAAAGACCUUUGGGGCAUCCAAAAAUCAAGGAGAAAGAAUCUUGAGGUGUGGAGAUCUAAUAGACACAAAACUAGGUGUUUGAGUUAGAGCAAAGAGAAGAAGAAGAGGAUCUUCUUCUAGAGUUGCUGGGUUCAUCUCUUUCCUCCCUCCAUCUGUAAGUUUUUUAAGAGUAUCACAUCUAAAACUCCUUCUCUUACUUCUCAUCUUUGGAAGAGUCUAAAUCAAGAAGAAGGAGGCAUCUGAUCGAUCAUCGAA
Molecule: long non-coding RNA, 268 nt
Filed under: Elaeis guineensis (African oil palm)
Lineage: Eukaryota; Viridiplantae; Streptophyta; Magnoliopsida; Arecales; Arecaceae
Description: long non-coding RNA (EGUI_LNC065701)
Source: RNAcentral